AAUAUAAAUAACCCCAAAAACACUUAAACUUAUUAAACAAAACAUUUUUCCUCCUUAGUAUGGGAGACAGAAAAGGAUUCAUGGGCGCAAUAGAAAAAGUACCGCAAGGGAAA
RNAcentral lists this ribosomal RNA (113 nucleotides) under Gnathanodon speciosus (golden trevally). RNAcentral's name for it is "partial 16S ribosomal RNA". The record is from RNAcentral. Lineage: Eukaryota; Metazoa; Chordata; Actinopteri; Carangiformes; Carangidae.